RNAcentral lists this ribosomal RNA (1106 nucleotides) under Salmonella enterica subsp. enterica serovar Typhi. RNAcentral's name for it is "bacterial LSU rRNA". It matches the Rfam family "Bacterial large subunit ribosomal RNA", at positions 1 to 1037 of the family's 2925-position model. The record is from RNAcentral. Lineage: Bacteria; Pseudomonadati; Pseudomonadota; Gammaproteobacteria; Enterobacterales; Enterobacteriaceae.
GGGUUGUGAGGUUAAGCGACUAAGCGUACACGGUGGAUGCCCUGGCAGUCAGAGGCGAUGAAGGGCGUGCUAAUCUGCGAUAAGCGCCGGUAAGGUGAUAUGAACCGUUAUAACCGGCGAUACCCGAAUGGGGAAACCCAGUGUGAUUCGUCACACUAUCAUUAACUGAAUCCAUAGGUUAAUGAGGCGAACCGGGGGAACUGAAACAUCUAAGUACCCCGAGGAAAAGAAAUCAACCGAGAUUCCCCCAGUAGCGGCGAGCGAACGGGGAGGAGCCCAGAGCCUGAAUCAGCAUGUGUGUUAGUGGAAGCGUCUGGAAAGGCGCGCGAUACAGGGUGACAGCCCCGUACACAAAAGCGCAUAUGCUGUGAGCUCGAUGAGUAGGGCGGGACACGUGGUAUCCUGUCUGAAUAUGGGGGGACCAUCCUCCAAGGCUAAAUACUCCUGACUGACCGAUAGUGAACCAGUACCGUGAGGGAAAGGCGAAAAGAACCCCGGCGAGGGGAGUGAAAAAGAACCUGAAACCGUGUACGUACAAGCAGUGGGAGCCCCACCACUAAGCCAGUGGUGAACUCCACAUACGCAUCCUUUGCUGAGGAGACGGUUAACGGAGCGAAAGCGACGUUCAACCUCAAAAGAAGCAGAGGGGGCUUAGUGGUGGGGUGACUGCGUACCUUUUGUAUAAUGGGUCAGCGACUUAUAUUCUGUAGCAAGGUUAACUGUAUAGGGGAGCCGGAGGGAAACCGAGUCUUAACCGGGCGUUAAGUUGCAGGGUAUAGACCCGAAACCCGGUGAUCUAGCCAUGGGCAGGUUGAAGGUUGGGUAACACUAACUGGAGGACCGAACCGACUAAUGUUGAAAAAUUAGCGGAUGACCUGUGGCUGGGGGUGAAAGGCCAAUCAAACCGGGAGAUAGCUGGUUCUCCCCGAAAGCUAUUUAGGUAGCGCCUCGUGAAUUCAUCUCCGGGGGUAGAGCACUGUUUCGGCUAGGGGGCCAUCCCGGCUUACCAACCCGAUGCAAACUGCGAAUACCGGAGAAUGUUAUCACGGGAGACACACGGCGGGUGCUAAUGUCCGUCGUGAAGAGGGAAACAACCCAGACCGCCA